This 442-nucleotide ribosomal RNA is filed under the name uncultured Allobrachymonas sp. RNAcentral describes it as "bacterial SSU rRNA". It matches the Rfam family "Bacterial small subunit ribosomal RNA", at positions 934 to 1382 of the family's 1533-position model. Lineage: Bacteria; Pseudomonadati; Pseudomonadota; Betaproteobacteria; Burkholderiales; Comamonadaceae. The record is from RNAcentral.
GGAUGAUGUGGUUUAAUUCGAUGCAACGCGAAAACCUUACCCACCUUUGACAUGGCAGGAAUCCCGAAGAGAUUUGGGAGUGCUCGAAAGAGAACCUGCACACAGGUGCUGCAUGGCUGUCGUCAGCUCGUGUCGUGAGAUGUUGGUUAAGUCCCGCAACGAGCGCAACCCUUGCCAUUAGUUGCUACGAAAGGGCACUCUAAUGGGACUGCCGGUGACAAACCGGAGGAAGGUGGGGAUGACGUCAAGUCCUCAUGGCCCUUAUAGGUGGGGCUACACACGUCAUACAAUGGCCGGUACAGAGGGUAGCCAACCCGCGAGGGGGAGCCAAUCCCACAAAGCCGGUCGUAGUCCGGAUCGCAGUCUGCAACUCGACUGCGUGAAGUCGGAAUCGCUAGUAAUCGCGGAUCAGCAUGUCGCGGUGAAUACGUUCCCGGGUCUU